Achromobacter sp. DMS1 is the source of this 85-nucleotide non-coding RNA. The record is from Rfam. Lineage: Bacteria; Pseudomonadati; Pseudomonadota; Betaproteobacteria; Burkholderiales; Alcaligenaceae.
GAGAUUAUUCCCACCAUUACGGACAGGGUGGGUUAGCGCGCAACCGGAACAUCUUGCACACCGACCCGCCGACGUGGCGGGUUUU